UGAACUGGGAAGACCCCGGGGCCUGGGGCCUCCACCCACCCCUGGGGUGAACUGGGAAGACCCACCCAAGGAGUCCCCGAAGGGUAUUGGUCUUGUCACAAGAAAUUCAAGGACAGGCGUGCAGCACGACCAGCCACACAAGUGGGAAAGUUUAUUAAAGGGAAAAGUAGGAUCUCGAGACACCAGAGCAGGCGGCUCGAGAGAGAGACAGAGACAGAGAGGACAGCCGCCAGCCCCGAGGGGUUGGGUUCCCCUCCCCCAUGUUUCACCGCCGGUUGGGAACCGGGGGACAGAAUGUUCAGGACUCGGGGCUGAUCUCCCACGUUUCCUCCUCUCUUGCUCAGAGCCUCCCGUGCUGGCACCGCCACCCAGGGCCCGUCCCGUCCGUGAGACUUGGAGAUAGUGAGGCCUGCGGUGUAGAUAACGGGCAUCCUGUCUCAAUGGGAAAAUGUCUGUGACUUCUGCUGGUGACGGAACCACAGACGCUCCUGACGGUGGUUGGCUCCCUACGUUCCUAGGUUAAGGGUACAGCCAGAUUUCAGCUCCAGCUCGGAGAUCUGAAAGGUGCAAAUGUUCACCAGUCCCCAAGGUUUCUUUCGGGGAACCGGGGUAAAGCCGAUCACAUGAAGUGUUGGAGGGACCCCAAAAUGAAUCAGCAUGGAGCCCAUGGCUUCAGGCAUUUUUUAAUUCACUUUUCGACCGAGGUACAGUUGACGAAUACUGUGUUAGUUUCAACCGCCCCACGUAGGGACUCGGUGUCUGUGCACCUUGUGAAAUGAUCGCUGCCAUUGUGUGGCCAACGUCUGUCAUUUUACACAGUGACAAAAAACCUUCUGGGUGAUGAGCAUGUUCAAGAUUUACUCUCUUAGCAAAACUGGCAGCUGUGUAAUAGAGUAUUAUUGACUGUAUGAACUUCGCUUACUUAUGCAUCGAACUAAAUGUGUAAUCCGCUAUGUACUAAAUAAAUAACAUAUCUGCA
Molecule: long non-coding RNA, 979 nt
Organism: Felis catus (domestic cat)
Lineage: Eukaryota; Metazoa; Chordata; Mammalia; Carnivora; Felidae
Exons: 3
Source: RefSeq, a predicted model, not a curated record